This is a long non-coding RNA of Cylas formicarius (sweet potato weevil), 781 nucleotides long. RefSeq lists it as uncharacterized. The transcript has 3 exons. The record is from RefSeq and is a predicted model, not a curated record. NCBI's taxonomy places the organism in Eukaryota, Metazoa, Arthropoda, Insecta, Coleoptera, Brentidae.
UACUCCGUUUCUCUCCAGUCGUCGAGAAGGAUCGACGCUGGUCGGCUACAAUAAUAAGAUUUGUAUUUGUUUUGCGCUUUGCAAUAUCGCAGCAACUGUUUAUUUUAGGUUGGUCGCAUUGUGCGCAGUUGCGUAGUAUAGUCUAUUACGCGGUCAAAAAAAUAUCUACAUUUACGCUCAGGCUCCUUGCGGGCCGUUCACGAUUAUUGAGAACUUGACUGACGUGGGCGAGUAGGAAAACCUGGUACAUAAAACGUCGGGAAGUGUGAUCUGAUGAUUGGAAAAUGAGGAACUGGUAUAUCACCCAUUGAUUAGUAUCUAAAUUCAAAAUUUCCUGAGAAUGGACUUCGAGGAAAGGAAAGUCAACGGGACGUUUUAACUAUAGAUAUAGCAGAAUUUGAUUAAUAGAAUGCUGCAUUACACGCGAUCCCACAGCUACUUUUUCACCUGGCACUGACGUUUUUGUAGAGUAAUUUAAAAACCAUAAUUUUCAACCCACGAGAAAACGAAAUUUUGUCAUAUUUCUAGUCGUCGCGCACCGAUACGGAAAUUAUUUUUGUUGCUACUACCGAACAAGUUGACAAUAAUAAAUCGAUAAAAUAAUUUUACACAGACAUCCGCUGGUUGAAUAAUUUAUGGUUUUAAUAAUAAUCGUUGCCUGUAAUCGAUUAAAAUGAAGGACGAUGAGACUGGUACAACAACAUACACCGUCUAAAUGCACAAUGGGAGGAAAUUUUGUUAAAAAUUAUGUAAAACGUGGACAUAUAUAUUCAAUAAGGUA